AUACGGAGGGUCCAAGCGUUAUCCGGAAUCAUUGGGUUUAAAGGGUCCGCAGGCGGUCAAUUAAGUCAGAGGUGAAAGCCCAUCGCUCAACGAUGGAACUGCCUUUGAUACUGGUUGACUUGAGUUAUACGGAAGUAGAUAGAAUAAGUAGUGUGGCGGUGAAAUGCAUAGAUAUUACUUAGAAUACCGAUUGCGAAGGCAGUCUACUACGUAUAUACUGACGCUGAGUGACGAAAGCGUGGGGAGCGAACAGGAUUAGAAACCCCGGUAGUCC
RNAcentral lists this ribosomal RNA (274 nucleotides) under uncultured bacterium. RNAcentral describes it as "partial 16S ribosomal RNA". It matches the Rfam family "Bacterial small subunit ribosomal RNA", at positions 523 to 796 of the family's 1533-position model. The record is from RNAcentral.